AAAGGAAUUGACGGGGGCCCGCACAAGCGGUGGAGUAUGUGGUUUAAUUCGAUGCAACGCGAAGAACCUUACCAGGGCUUGACAUCCCGGGAACCCUGCGGAGACGUGGGGGUGCCCUUCGGGGAGCCCGGAGACAGGUGGUGCAUGGCUGUCGUCAGCUCGUGUCGUGAGAUGUUGGAUUAAGUUCCGCAACGAGCGCAACCCUCGUCGUAUGUUGCCAGCGGUUCGGCCGGGCACUCAUGCGAGACUGCCGCAGCAAUGUGGAGGAAGGUGGGGAUGACGUCAAGUCAGCAUGCCCCGUACGCCCUGGGCUACACACAUACUACAAUGCGAGGAGCAAACGGAUGCCAACCCGCGAGGGGGCGCCAAUCCGAAAAGGCCUCGCUCAGUGCGGAUCGCAGGCUGCAACUCGCCUGCGUGAAGGCGGAAUCGCUAGUAAUCGUCGGUCAGCAGUACGACGAUGAAUACGUUCCCGGGCCUUGUACACACCGCCCGU
This 496-nucleotide ribosomal RNA is filed under the name uncultured bacterium. RNAcentral's name for it is "bacterial SSU rRNA". It matches the Rfam family "Bacterial small subunit ribosomal RNA", at positions 903 to 1397 of the family's 1533-position model. The record is from RNAcentral.